This 440-nucleotide ribosomal RNA is filed under the name uncultured bacterium. Its description in RNAcentral is "partial 16S ribosomal RNA". It matches the Rfam family "Bacterial small subunit ribosomal RNA", at positions 339 to 795 of the family's 1533-position model. The record is from RNAcentral.
CUACGGGGUGCUCCAGUGAGGAAUAUUGCACAAUGGGGGGAACCCUGAUGCAGCAACGCCGCGUGGAGGAUGACGCAUUUCGGUGUGUAAACUCCUUUUAUAUGUCAAGAAAAUGACGGUAGCAUAUGAAUAAGCACCGGCUAACUCCGUGCCAGCAGCCGCGGUGAAUAGGGAGGGUGCAAGCGUUACUCGGAAUCACUGGGCGUAAAGGACGCGUAGGCGGGUUGGAAAGUCAGGUGUGAAAUCCUACAGCUUAACUGUAGAACUGCACUUGAAACUUCUAAUCUAGAGUAUGGGAGGGGGAGAUGGAAUUAGUGGUGUAGGGGUAAAAUCCGUAGAUAUCACUAGGAAUACCUAAAGCGAAGGCGAUCUCCUGGAACAUUACUGACGCUAAGGCGUGAAAGCGUGGGGAGCAAACAGGAUUAGAUACCCCCGUAGUC